AUUAAACUGAAGAGUUUGAUCAUGGCUCAGAUUGAACGCUGGCGGUAUGCUUAACACAUGCAAGUCGAACGGUAACAGCAGAAGCUUGCUUCUGGCUGACGAGUGGCGGACGGGUGAGUAACGC
This 124-nucleotide ribosomal RNA is filed under the name Gammaproteobacteria bacterium. RNAcentral describes it as "partial 16S ribosomal RNA". It matches the Rfam family "Bacterial small subunit ribosomal RNA", at positions 1 to 116 of the family's 1533-position model. The record is from RNAcentral. Lineage: Bacteria; Pseudomonadati; Pseudomonadota; Gammaproteobacteria.